Molecule: non-coding RNA, 1209 nt
Organism: Tetranychus urticae (two-spotted spider mite)
Lineage: Eukaryota; Metazoa; Arthropoda; Arachnida; Trombidiformes; Tetranychidae
Source: RefSeq, a predicted model, not a curated record
GUUUAAUUCAAAGAUUAAGGAUUACCAUAAUCUUAAUCAAAGAUCAAAAUCUACUCUUUGAUCUUAAUUGCUCUCUCUCUCUCUCUACUCCCUUUACUCUUUGAACUCACCUUAAUAAAUAAGAACCUUUUCUAGAACAAAAGUCCAUUUCAGUCCAUCGUUUGUUUUGUUCGUUGUACUCAUCGUUUAAUUAAACAACACCUCAAUUCUGAUUGUUUAUUUGAUUUUGUGGUUUCCGUUAUAGUAAUUAAUCUUGACAUCAUGGUUCGAGCUCAACGAAAAGCUGUUGGAUCCAAGAGAGUUCGUGUGACGCCGCAUAAGGUCAUGAAAAAAAUUCAGUUAACAUUGAAAGAUUUUAGUCAAUUUGUUCUUGUGUCAUUUGGUCGAUUUUUACACAUGACUUCUGCAGAUUUGCGGGGAAAAGGAGCAUAUCAUAAGAGAGAACCUCAUCCUCAGUACGAUCGUCGGCGAGGAUAACCUUCAUAAUCUUUCUGAACUUGAAUCUUGUGAUUAUGAAUAGAACCAUCCAUGUAUUCAGUCCCAAGUUUUCUCAAUUUUUGUAUUCUGACCUAAAAUUGUUUAUAUUUUAACGACUUCAUUAAACCAAUUCUUAUUUCCAUUCAACUUGACAUUUGGUGAAUUUAAUCCAAAUUAAUCUAUUAUUUAACAUUCAAGAUUGGCGGACUUCAGAAAUUUAUUGAACACAUGUGUAAAGCUUGACUCUCAUUGGAGGAUUCAAUAAAAAUGUAAAUGUUUGUUCACCUUGUUACAACUCCGUGUUUUGUUUUCAUUUCAACUCAACUGUUUUUUUAAUUAUAUUGUCAAUUGUGUAUCUCUGCUUUUGGUUGAUUAUUCCAGUUAUUACAAACUUGUAUUGGUCAUGUCAAUCAAAACUUCAUCUUGGGCCAAAACAAGUAAAAGUCGAAAUGUGGUUUUACUAGUUGCGGGUGUUAUCUUAAUGUCUUCUUAUCCACUUUAUUUUUAUCCUAAAUCAAGGAAAUCUGAAUAUGAGCAAAUUCAAGCAAUCAACCGACGAGGAAUUGAUAAGGAAGCUAUUCAACCAGGUGGAUUCAAGCCUUGGACAGACCCAUUUGCUGCAUUCAGGUCGAAAUGAUGAUUCUUUUUGUAUGAUUUCUAGAAUUCAAAACGGUAUUUGUAAAUCUGUAUAAAAAAUUUCUAAUUGAAUCAAUGAAAGAUUUGAAUUUCACG